This 468-nucleotide ribosomal RNA is filed under the name Escherichia coli. Its description in RNAcentral is "bacterial SSU rRNA". It matches the Rfam family "Bacterial small subunit ribosomal RNA", at positions 1 to 465 of the family's 1533-position model. RNAcentral also lists the same sequence under 1 other name. The record is from RNAcentral. Lineage: Bacteria; Pseudomonadati; Pseudomonadota; Gammaproteobacteria; Enterobacterales; Enterobacteriaceae.
AAAUUGAAGAGUUUGAUCAUGGCUCAGAUUGAACGCUGGCGGCAGGCCUAACACAUGCAAGUCGAACGGUAACAGGAAGCAGCUUGCUGCUUCGCUGACGAGUGGCGGACGGGUGAGUAAUGUCUGGGAAACUGCCUGAUGGAGGGGGAUAACUACUGGAAACGGUAGCUAAUACCGCAUAAUGUCGCAAGACCAAAGAGGGGGACCUUCGGGCCUCUUGCCAUCGGAUGUGCCCAGAUGGGAUUAGCUUGUUGGUGGGGUAACGGCUCACCAAGGCGACGAUCCCUAGCUGGUCUGAGAGGAUGACCAGCCACACUGGAACUGAGACACGGUCCAGACUCCUACGGGAGGCAGCAGUGGGGAAUAUUGCACAAUGGGCGCAAGCCUGAUGCAGCCAUGCCGCGUGUAUGAAGAAGGCCUUCGGGUUGUAAAGUACUUUCAGCGGGGAGGAAGGGAGUAAAGUUAAUA